RNAcentral lists this ribosomal RNA (252 nucleotides) under uncultured bacterium. RNAcentral's name for it is "partial 16S ribosomal RNA". It matches the Rfam family "Bacterial small subunit ribosomal RNA", at positions 524 to 776 of the family's 1533-position model. The record is from RNAcentral.
UACGUAGGUCCCGAGCGUUGUCCGGAUUUAUUGGGCGUAAAGCGAGCGCAGGUGGUUUAUUAAGUCUGGUGUAAAAGGCAGUGGCUCAACCAUUGUAUGCAUUGGAAACUGGUAGACUUGAGUGCAGGAGAGGAGAGUGGAAUUCCAUGUGUAGCGGUGGAAUGUGUAGAUAUCGGGAAGAACACCAAUGGCGAAGGCAGGUCUCUGGGCCGUUACUGACGCUGAGGAGCGAAAGCGUGGGGAGCGAACAGG